Molecule: ribosomal RNA, 254 nt
Filed under: uncultured bacterium
Lineage: Bacteria
Description: partial 16S ribosomal RNA
Rfam family: Bacterial small subunit ribosomal RNA
Source: RNAcentral
ACGGGUGAGUAACACGUGAGCAACCUGGCUCUAAGAGGGGGACAACAGUUGGAAACGACUGCUAAUACCGCAUAACGUAUCGGGAUGGCAUCUUCCUGAUACCAAAGAUUUUAUCGCUUAGAGAUGGGCUCGCGUCUGAUUAGAUAGUUGGCGGGGUAACGGCCCACCAAGUCGACGAUCAGUAGCCGGACUGAGAGGUUGAGCGGCCACAUUGGGACUGAGACACGGCCCAGACUCCUACGGGAGGCAGCAUG